CCUACGGGAGGCAGCAGUGAGGAAUAUUGGUCAAUGGGCGGAAGCCUGAACCAGCCAAGUAGCGUGCAGGAUGACGGCCCUACGGUUUGUAAACUGCUUUUAUACGGGAAUAACGCGCCUUACGUGUAGGGCUUUGCAUGUACCGUAUGAAUAAGGAUCGGCUAAUUCCGUGCCAGCAGCCGCGGUAAUACGGAAGGUCCGGGCGUUAUCCGGAUUUAUUGGGUUUAAAGGGAGCGUAGGCCGCAUUUUAAGCCUGCUGUGAAAUGUCCGGGCUCAACCCGGGCAUUGCAGUGGAAACUGGGGUGCUUGAGUCCGCGGAAGGCAGGCGGAAUUCGUGGUGUAGCGGUGAAAUGCUUAGAUAUGACGAAGAACCCCGAUUGCGAAGGCAGCUUGCUGCGGCGGAACUGACGCUGAUGCUCGAAAGCGCGGGUAUCGAACAGGAUUAGAUACCCCAGUAGUC
RNAcentral lists this ribosomal RNA (460 nucleotides) under uncultured bacterium. RNAcentral describes it as "partial 16S ribosomal RNA". It matches the Rfam family "Bacterial small subunit ribosomal RNA", at positions 338 to 795 of the family's 1533-position model. The record is from RNAcentral.